GACGAACGCUGGCGGCGUGCCUAAUACAUGCAAGUAGAACGCUGAAGAGAGGAGCUUGCUCUUCUUGGAUGAGUUGCGAACGGGUGAGUAACGCGUAGGUAACCUGCCUUGUAGCGGGGGAUAACUAUUGGAAGCGAUAGCUAAUACCGCAUAACAAUGGAUGACACAUGUCAUUUAUUUGAAAGGGGCAAUUGCUCCACUACAAGAUGGACCUGCGUUGUAUUAGCUAGUAGGUGAGGUAAUGGCUCACCUAGGCGACGAUACAUAGCCGACCUGAGAGGGUGAUCGGCCACACUGGGACUGAGACACGGCCCAGACUCCUACGGGAGGCAGCAGUAGGGAAUCUUCGGCAAUGGGGGCAACCCUGACCGAGCAACGCCGCGUGAGUGAAGAAGGGUUUCGGAUCGUAAAGCUCUGUUGUAAGUCAAGAACGGGUGUGAGAGUGGAAAGUUCACACUGUGACGGUAGCUUACCAGAAAGGGACGGCUAACUACGUG
Molecule: ribosomal RNA, 497 nt
Filed under: uncultured bacterium
Lineage: Bacteria
Description: partial 16S ribosomal RNA
Rfam family: Bacterial small subunit ribosomal RNA
Source: RNAcentral